UUCCCCUAGUAACUGCGAGUGAAGAGGGAAAAGCUCAAAUUUAAAAUCUGGCAGUCUUUGGCUGUCCGAGUUGUAAUUUAGAGAAGUGUUACCCGUGCUGGACCGUGUACAAGUCUCCUGGAAUGGAGCGUCAUAGAGGGUGAGAAUCCCGUCUUUGACACGGACUACCAGUGCAUUGUGGUGCGCUCUCAAAGAGUCGAGUUGUUUGGGAAUGCAGCUCUAAAUGGGUGGUAAAUUCCAUCUAAAGCUAAAUAUUGGCGAGAGACCGAUAGCGAACAAGUACCGUGAGGGAAAGAUGAAAAGAACUUUGGAAAGAGAGUUAAACAGUACGUGAAAUUGCUGAAAGGGAAACGCUUGAAGUCAGUCGCGUUGGCCAGGGAUCAACCUUGCUUUAGUGGGGUGUACUUCCUGGUUGACGGGUCAGCAUCAGUUUUGACUGCUGGAAAAAGGCUUGGGAAUGUGGCAUCUCCGGAUGUGUUAUAGCCCCUUGUUGUAUACAGUGGUUGGGACUGAGGAACUCAGCACUUGCGGCCGGGAUUCGUCCACGUUCGUGCUUAGGAUGCUGGCAUAAUGGCUUUAAGCGACCCGUCUUGAAACACGGACCAAGGAGUCUAACAUGCUUGCGAGUGUUUGGGUGGAAAACCCGAGCGCGUAAUGAAAGUGAAAGUUGGGAUCUCUGUCGUGGAGAGCACCGACGCCCGGACCUGAUGUUUACUGACGGAUCUGCGGUAGAGCACGUAUGUUGGGACCCGAAAGAUGGUGAACUAUGCCUGNAUAGGGUGAAGCCAGAGGAAACUCUGGUGGAGGCUCGUAGCGAUUCUGACGUGCAAAUCGAUCGUCAAAUUUGGGUAUAGGGGA
Molecule: ribosomal RNA, 858 nt
Filed under: Crinipellis maxima
Lineage: Eukaryota; Fungi; Basidiomycota; Agaricomycetes; Agaricales; Marasmiaceae
Description: eukaryotic LSU rRNA
Rfam family: Eukaryotic large subunit ribosomal RNA
Source: RNAcentral